UGGGGAAUAUUGGACAAUGGGCGAAAGCCUGAUCCAGCAAUGCCGCGUGAGUGAUGAAGGCCCUAGGGUUGUAAAGCUCUUUUACCCGGGUUGAUAAUGACAGUACCGGGAGAAUAAGCCCCGGCUAACUCCGUGCCAGCAGCCGCGGUAAUACGGAGGGGGCUAGCGUUGUUCGGAAUUACUGGGCGUAAAGCGCGCGUAGGCGGCUUUGUAAGUUAGAGGUGAAAGCCCGAAGCUCAACUUCGGAAUUGCCUUUAAGACUGCAUCGCUAGAAUCGUGGAGAGGUGAGUGGAAUUCCGAGUGUAGAGGUGAAAUUCGUAGAUAUUCGGAAGAACACCAGUGGCGAAGGCGACUCACUGGACACGUAUUGACGCUGUGGUGCGAAAGCGUGGGGAGCAAACAGGAUUAGAUACCCUGGUAGUCCACGCCGUAAACGAUGAUGACGUAGCUGUCGGGCGCUUAGCGUUUCGGUGGCGCAGCUAACGCGUUAAGUCAUCCG
Molecule: ribosomal RNA, 499 nt
Filed under: uncultured Pseudomonadota bacterium
Lineage: Bacteria; Pseudomonadati; Pseudomonadota
Description: bacterial SSU rRNA
Rfam family: Bacterial small subunit ribosomal RNA
Source: RNAcentral